Molecule: transfer RNA, 71 nt
Filed under: Loxodonta africana (African savanna elephant)
Lineage: Eukaryota; Metazoa; Chordata; Mammalia; Proboscidea; Elephantidae
Rfam family: tRNA
About the family: Transfer RNA (tRNA) molecules are approximately 80 nucleotides in length. Their secondary structure includes four short double-helical elements and three loops (D, anti-codon, and T loops).
Source: Rfam by way of RNAcentral
ACGAUGGGGGUUCAGUGGUAGAAUUUCCACCUUCCAUGUAGGAGACCUGGGUUUGAUUCCCAGCCAGUGCA